AUGCUAAUACCGCAUAACAACGUUGUUCGCAUGAACAACGUUUCAAAGAUGGCCUCUGGCUAUCACUUCUGGAUGGACCUGCGGUGCAUUAGCUUGUUGGUGGGGUAAUGGCCUACCAAGGCGAUGAUGCAUAGCCGAGUUGAGAGACUGAUCGGCCACAAUGGGACUGAGACACGGCCCAUACUCCUACGGGAGGCAGCAGUAGGGAAUCUUCCACAAUGGGCGCAAGCCUGAUGGAGCAACACCGCGUGAGUGAAGAAGGGUUUCGGCUCGUAAAGCUCUGUUGUUAAAGAAGAACAUGCGUGAGAGUAACUGUUCACGCAUUGACGGUAUUUAACCAGAAAGUCACGGCUAACUACGUGCCAGCAGCCGCGGUAAUACGUAGGUGGCAAGCGUUAUCCGGAUUUAUUGGGCGUAAAGAGAGUGCAGGCGGUUUACUAAGUCUGAUGUGAAAGCCUUCGGCUUAACCGGAGAAGGGCAUCGGAAACUGGCUAACUUGAGUGCAGAAGAGGGUAGUGGAACUCCAUGUGUAGCGGUGGAAUGCGUAGAUAUAUGGAAGAACACCAGUGGCGAAGGCGGCUACCUGGUCUGUAAGUGACGCUGAGACUCGAAAGCAUGGGUAGCGAACAGGAUUAGAUACCCUGGUAGUCCAUGCCGUAAACGAUGAGUGCUAGGUGUUGGAGGGUUUCCUCCCUUCAGUGCCGGAGCUAACGCAUUAAGCACUCCGCCUGGGGAGUACGACCGCAAGGUUGAAACUCAAAGGAAUUGACGGGGGCCCGCACAAGCGGUGGAGCAUGUGGUUUAAUUCGAAGCUACGCGAAGAACCUUACCAGGUCUUGACAUCUUGCGCCAACCCUAGAGAUAGGGCGUUUCCUUCGGGAACGCAAUGACAGGUGGUGCAUGGUCGUCGUCAGCUCGUGUCGUGAGAUGUUGGGUUAAGUCCCGCAACGAGCGCAACCCUUGUUACUAGUUGCCAGCAUUCAGUUGGGCACUCUAGUGAGACUGCCGGUGACAAACCGGAGGAAGGUGGGGACGACGUCAGAUCAUCAUGCCCCUUAUGACCUGGGCUACAUACGUGCUACAAUGGACGGUACAACGAGUCGCGAACUCGCGAGGGCAAGCAAAUCUCUGAAAACCGUUCUCAGUUCGGACUGCAGGCUGCAACUCGCCUGCACGAAGUCGGAAUCGCUAGUAAUCGCGGAUCAGCAUGCCGCGGUGAAUACGUUCCCGGGCCUUGCACACACCGCCCGUCA
This 1253-nucleotide ribosomal RNA is filed under the name uncultured bacterium. Its description in RNAcentral is "bacterial SSU rRNA". It matches the Rfam family "Bacterial small subunit ribosomal RNA", at positions 160 to 1399 of the family's 1533-position model. The record is from RNAcentral.